Molecule: ribosomal RNA, 468 nt
Filed under: uncultured bacterium
Lineage: Bacteria
Description: partial 16S ribosomal RNA
Rfam family: Bacterial small subunit ribosomal RNA
Source: RNAcentral
GACGAACGCUGGCGGCGUGCUUAACACGUGCAAGUCGAACGGAAAGGCCCUGCUUUUGUGGGGUGCUCGAGUGGCGAACGGGUGAGUAACACGUGAGUAACCUGCCCUUGACUUUGGGAUAACUUCAGGAAACUGGGGCUACUACCGGAUAGGAGCUCCUGCUGCAUGGUGGGGGUUGGAAAGUUUCGGCGGUUGGGGGUGGACUCGCGGCUUAUCAGCUUGUGGGUGGGGUGGUGGCUUACCAAGGCUUUGCCGGGUAGCCGGCCUGAGAGGGUGAACAGGCACAAUGGGACUGAGGUAGGGCCCAGUCUGCUACGGGAGGCAGCGGUGGGGAAUAUUGCACAAUGGGCGGAAGCCUGAGGCAGAAGCGCCGCGUGCGGGAUGAAGGCCUUCGGGUUGUAAACCGCGUUCGCCUGUGACGAAGCGUGAGUGACGGUAAUGGGUAAAGAAGCACCGGCUAACUACGUG